This 3385-nucleotide long non-coding RNA is filed under the name Ovis aries (sheep). Its description in RNAcentral is "lncRNA (ENSOARG00000025312.1)". The record is from RNAcentral. Lineage: Eukaryota; Metazoa; Chordata; Mammalia; Artiodactyla; Bovidae.
AAUGAUAUACAUAGUCCCACGAAAGGAGGAAUCAUCAUCCAUGUUUGACAGUUGAAGAGAAUGAGGCUCAGAGAGAUUAAGUGAACCGCCCGAGUUCACACUGCUAAUAAGUGGUCUCCUUCCAUAGCCUUUGCUGUUAACUGUUACAUUUAAGAGCUGCUUCAAUCUGCUAAAUUUCAGUUUCUUCUGAGUGAACAGUGGGGUUUUUCUGGCCCUGUGCCAUCACCGUUAAUCCUUCAGGGCAGCUGAGAAGUAUCUUAAUCAAGGCCUCUGACCUUGUCAUUCAUUCUUUUUCUUAGUGUUCAGUUAACUGCAGGCACCCUAAGGAAUGGGAAUGGAACGGCUUCAGACUUCACAGGAGGAGGACUGGCAGAGAAACUCCUUCCAAGACCUCACAGCAAGCCCAGGGUGAAGAAACAAAGACCCAGAGACUUGUCUGCUUUUCCACAAACAGUGAGGGGCUGAAUGAGGACUUGAAUCCACGUUUAAGUUCCUGUUCAGGUAAGACCAGAAACACUUUGAAUCCAAGUCCCAGUGCCUGUUCAGGUAAGACCAGAAACUGUCUCUUCACUCUCUGUACUCAGCCUUACUGUCUCCGCGUAGCUGUUAAUGGAUUCAUUAUUCCCGGGCAGGUGGAAUUAGAACCUCAUAAGCACCUUUGCCUCCUUGUUCUCUCUCUUCCAAUCCUACAGCUGCAAUCUUUCAUCCAAUGGAUCCUACUUCCACUGAGUUUCUUGGUCCCAUCUUUCCUUCCCCCCUUUUCUAGCCAUCUAUCACUGCUUUGGUUCCCAUGGUUGUUAUAAACUCAGCUGCCAAAACAUCAAAGCCAAAUUUCACUGUCAAAUCUAAGCAACUAUAAUGGACUUUACUAUUUGGGUACUUGUGCUCAUCUUUUUUUUUUGUUUGUUUUUUUUUGAUUUGGGAAAGAAAGAUUUAUGUAACCCCAUUCCUGUUUUCAUCUUCUUAACCUUGCUCAUACCUCCAUAAGUAGUCAUUGUAUUAAAGUCUCUUUAUUUGAGUCAUCUGGGAUGAAUUCCGUUUUCUGCUUGUGUGCUUACUAAUAAAGAAGUAUUCAUGCAUAUUUGCCAAACUGAUUUAGAACUGAGAAGGCAGUUCUAUUUUUUGUUGUUUUGUUGUAUUUGUUCAAUUUAGCAUGAACAUUUUACUAUAACAACAACGAAGCAGGUUGAAAUGCCUUUCAGUUUUUACUCUGAAUUCCUGCUUCAUGUUUUGUUUGGAGUAUUCCUAUUACAUUUUCAAGAAAGUAAAACUUUCUUUUAAAUGCAUGAUUAUUUACAACUUUGUUAUAUUUUUGUGAUUUUUAUAAAAAGGUCUCUAGCUGUUCUUCUUUUUCUAAAGAGUUAUGUCUCAGAUGGAAUAAUGAAAGCAAAGAGGAAAUGUCUGUUAUAAAGCUGUUUCUCGGGAACCAUGUAGAGGUUAAAUUACGUGGCAAAGAGAUCCAGAGCACUUGUGGGAUCACUUUAUUAGCCUAAAAUUUUGUUUUAUUUAACUCUUUCCUGAAACCAGAAUGCUAUUAACGUGGUGCUUGGUAAACUUUUUGUACUUCAGGUAUUUUCACUGGAAUUAUUAGAAUUAGGUUUAACCUGUUGAUUAUUAAAUGCUUCAGUUGUUCUUUUCUAUGAUUUAAGCUGGGCUAAUUCAAAUGCAUCUAGUUGCUCACAUUUUCAUCUCAUAGGCACAUCUAUAACUGUUAUACUGAGUAACUUGAACAUGGCUGUCACUUUAACCAUGUCCAGAAAAUUCACAUGUGAAAAUUGAAGUUUGCACAUCACUCAGUGAAUGAUUAUUUGUGUUGCCUUGCAAUAUUGCAGAUAACCUUGGACAAACCCCUUGACUUUUCUGAAUUUCAGUGUCCUUUGAGGGGAGGGGGGUGGAGGAUGGGGUUGAUAAUACCUUCCUUUAUACAAAACACAUUACAGAGAAUGAUGCAAAUAAGGGGAUAGUCAUUUAGUUCUAUAUUUAGAAAGAUAUAUUUGAUAAUGUUAUCUAAUAUCUUAUGGUUCCUUGAGUAGCAAAACACUCUGGAAAAUACGUCAGUUAGUCUCAGCUGGAAGCUCUACCCUUAGAAGACAAAUUAUAUGGCUAAUAUUGAAUAAAUUUUUGUCUGAAUGCUUGUAAAAUGGCAUAUAUAUAUAUAUAUAUAAAUUCAUUCUAUGUCAUUCUUGGUAUCACUUUUCCUUUCCUUUUCUUUUUUUCCAUUUUUUGCAAAAUGAAUGGUACCCUAAAUUGAGUAUAUUUCUUUCAUGUCUAUGGUCCUCAAGAGGAAAACUUGGGAAAUAUAUUCUUGUUUUGGGGGACUUUACUGUAGACAUUUCAUAACCAUUAUAGGAAAUUUCUUGUCGCUGUUAAAUUUUUUUUUUUAAUUCAAAGCCCUUCCUUUGAAUAUUUCUCCUUUUCCUGAUGAAUGUUUCCUCCUGGAUUUUCUCAGCUAGUACUUUUGAUAUUUAUAGUCUAAAUGUUUCAGUCAAUGUAUAACAAUGUUCACUGGUAAAGCUAAGAGGGGACAUGAGGAAUCUGUGUUUUAAGUUGAAUAAACCCAUUUAGCUGUAUUGAAAUUAUACUCUUUAGCCUGGAGCCAAAAUGGGAACUAUAAGAAAGAGAUGAGGUUAAAAAUAAUUCAACUUGAUAAAUGACUCUUGGAUUCCUAUAUUAUCAAGUUGUGGAUUAUCUGCAGCAAAUUUUUGGUUCUGAACUCCUUUCAUUUAUCUAUGGUUCAUAUUUUGAGAUCAAAAUUUGUGUUCUUUAAAACAGAUAGUAUAUUACAAGAAAUAAUCAUAGGCUACUUUACUAGUGCAGAAAGGCUAACCACUAUAACAGAAGCAAGAAGGUGUUUCAUACGUAACACAGUGCGCAUUUAUUUCUCACUGAUGCAGUGAUAGUUCAGUGUGGUUGGUGGGGGUGGGGCUCUUGUUCCACUUAUUCAUAGAUCCAGUGGUUCCAUCCUGUGUGUCUACCGACUCUAGGUGUUUAGCUGGGUGACAGGGGAAUGCAUGAAGAGCAUGUCUUGAAGAUAUUAAUGAGUCAGGCCAGUAAAUGACUCACAUCUAUUCAACUUAUAUUCUAGUCUCAAAGACAUAUGUAACUGCAAAGGAGGCUGAAAAUUUAAUUUAGUAGUUUUCCCAGGAAAAAGAAGAAUGUGUAUAGCAUUUAUUAAAUAUUUACAAGUGUCAGGCACUGCUCUGAAUCCAUUUUAUGGAUCAAUUCAUUUAAUCCUCAGAAUAACCUGAAAGAUAUUUUAACCAUAUGCCAGAUGAGGAAAAUGAGUCACAGAACUAGUAGAUGGGUGAAUCAGGAUGUGAAAUCAAGUAACCUGGCUUGAGUACACUUCUUACCUAGUAUACUUUCUGGUAUAUUUAUAUACAGG